CGGGUCGCAUGCUAUUCUUUGAAGCUGUUUUCAAUGAAAGAUUAACGAGGCCGCGGUGACUCACCGGAUCGCAAUCACGAAAUCAUACCUCACAAAUGAAAACCACCAUCACUGGAACUGAUGUUGUCGUCAAAGCCGUGAGUGAGAAGAACCGCAGGAGUACCCAGGCUUUCUGCAUGCUCGCUGGCUGGUGAUAAGUGCGUAAGGAGACUGGACCCAGCAGCAUUCAACGAUGGAGCAUCGUGGCUAGCCGAGACCCAAUCAAUCAAUUUUAGAGUAUGAGUCAUCCACUGCGGCAGAUUAGCCGGGUCAGGAAAGGUCGAGACACAUCAUUCCGCACGUUGCUGCAAGUGCGGGAUGCGAGCUUCUUUGCAGUCAUCAGACCUGUAGGAUCUUGACAUCAAACUCCUCAGCUUUUCACAAC
Molecule: long non-coding RNA, 424 nt
Organism: Pomacea canaliculata
Lineage: Eukaryota; Metazoa; Mollusca; Gastropoda; Architaenioglossa; Ampullariidae
Exons: 3
Source: RefSeq, a predicted model, not a curated record